ACCAUUUCAGGGGCGAAGAUCGGCACCAGAUUGUAAAUAUUGCGUUGUAUGGCUGCCUUGCAACCAGGAUGUCACAGGACGCUUGUUGUACCGGGUGAAAUAUGAAGAAAACCUUUCCUCUCCUCAGUGGUGGAAGACCAUAGAAAGCCCCGACUGUCAACGGAGGAUACUUCCUGACAAACUGAUGUGAGGAUGGAGGUUUUUGAGGCCAAGUUCGAUUAUACGAAACAACGCAAAGACGUUUUAAGUUUCAAGAAAGGAGACAAGUUUUACGUUAUUGACAAACCAAAUGAGGAGUGGUGGAGUGCGAGAAAAGUAGAUGAUGACACGUAUGGAUAUGUACCCUCUAUAUAUUUGGAGAAGAGUAAGGAGCAAUUUAUUGGAAGAUUGAUACCAGAGGGAAGGCGAAACACGUCAGGAGCAGUACAAAAGAGGGAGCAUGACAUUCAUCUUCAAGCCUUAUCUGAACUCCACCAACGUGUUAAACCAUUACCAGGUAAGUAUCCAGGACAUACUUUCCUAUUUAUGGAAAUAAUGACAUUAUUAUAAUACCAUUUGAUCAUGUAUUUAUGUUUCAGUAUUCCACUGUACCAUGGUGUACUCUACUCAUUUCAUUUCUUUUUAUGUGAUUAAUUGUUGAGCAAUUGCCCUACCCAUUUAGCCUUCCAUUGACCAGUCUAUUAUAUUAUGAUUAAUGAUUGCAAUUGCUAUAUUCUCUCUUGAUAAGUAUUUAUGAUAUACUUUUAAUGUCACUUCCAUUAAUUUUAUGAUAAUUGUAAUUCAGUAAUUUCAUUUCAAUUUCCUUUCUAUUUCCAAACUUAAGUUUUAUAUGACUCUCAGAUUGAUACUCCUGCGUAGGUAUAUAUGAGAUAAUUAUCUGGUGGGUGUUUCAUAAAGCUGUUCAUGAAUUACGAAUGAAUAACACACAACUAAUGUCCCUUUCUUGUGCUAAAUGGUAUAAUUAUAUCAUCCCUGUAACUGACUUAUCACCUAACAACAUGCUGUAGUUGUGCGUAAGUUGUAACUUAUGAAUAGCUUCACGAAACACCCACAUGGAAUGACCUAUCUAGUAAUUUGAUAAUUAUCGUGAUUCAUUAUGAAUAUGCAGGAAAAUAAAUAAAACCCUAAUAACUGAUUAUAGCCAUAAUAUAAUAUUCAACCUUUUAUUUCAGAUUAUCUUCAGGAACUGUUUUUAUUAAAGUGAACUGAACUGAAUCAAUUAAGUAACAUAUAUAAGAAGAAUAUAAAACUAAAGAAACAUGAACUUGAAUACAUGAUUGAAAAAUGCAUUGGAUUGAAUAACGCUAACAAAAGCUGAUGAAUAGUAAUUAACAAAACAAAAAUAAAAUAAAAAACAUGUAAAAUUGAUGCACAAGUUUAAUUGGUAUUGGAUGUUGCAGAAUUAAUGAUUGUAAAUUUAAUAAUUUGAUUUGAUUAUGUCCCAACAAUAUUCAAAUUUUUACAGGUUAUAAUGAAACAAAUAAGAGGGUUCAUGCAUAUGCAUAUUUACAUGUAAGCAAGGGUGACUCCAUUGAUGGAGGCAGGGGGUGGGGGAAGCAAGUUGUUCUUAAAAAUUAGAUUUUUAUGGAUUAAAUAAGAGGAGUAAUUAUGAGACACAUAACCAGAGACCCCUAUUUUCUUUCUUUUUUCUUCCUUUGUUGUUUCUCUUUUCUGCGCUUUCUUCUAUUUUCCCUUGUAUUUUGGGGGUACAUGUAUAUGUAGCUUGUUCCAAUUAAGGUGAGGAUCCUUCGCAUGAACAUAUAUCAUUUGAAGAAGAAAAAUUGUCAUGCAUUACAUAGGUAUUGACUAUUGAGCCAGGAGAGGGGGUACUUGAAUUAUAACAUGAUGAAGUGCCGUGCCAAAGUCGAAAAUAUGGGUCUCUAGAAACUAUAUCUAGGUCUUAAAACAGGGCUCUCCGGAAUGGCUCUUGGAUCAACGAUUGCUAAAAUUGCAAUGUUCUGGAACUGACCACAUAAAAAAGGGGAUUCUCCAGAACUCGUUAGAUCGUAGGCGUAAUUGGUAGCGGCUACCU
Lytechinus pictus (painted urchin) is the source of this 2032-nucleotide long non-coding RNA. RefSeq lists it as uncharacterized. NCBI's taxonomy places the organism in Eukaryota, Metazoa, Echinodermata, Echinoidea, Temnopleuroida, Toxopneustidae. The record is from RefSeq and is a predicted model, not a curated record. The transcript is spliced from 4 exons.